Molecule: ribosomal RNA, 1364 nt
Filed under: uncultured bacterium
Lineage: Bacteria
Description: bacterial SSU rRNA
Rfam family: Bacterial small subunit ribosomal RNA
Source: RNAcentral
AGAGUUUGUUCCUGGCUCAGGAUGAACGCUGGCGGCGUGCUUAACACAUGCAAGUCGAACGGAAAGGCCGAAGCUUGCUUCGGUACUCGAGUGGCGAACGGGUGAGUAACACGUGGGUGAUCUGCCCUGCACUUUGGGAUAAGCCUGGGAAACUGGGUCUAAUACCAGAUAGGACCACGUCUUGGAUGGUGUGGUGGAAAGUUUUUUCGGUGUGGGAUGAGCUCGCGGCCUAUCAGCUUGUUGGUGGGGUAAUGGCCUACCAAGGCGUCGACGGGUAGCCGGCCUGAGAGGGUGUACGGCCACAUUGGGACUGAGAUACGGCCCAGACUCCUACGGGAGGCAGCAGUGGGGAAUAUUGCACAAUGGGCGCAAGCCUGAUGCAGCGACGCCGCGUGGGGGAUGACGGCCUUCGGGUUGUAAACUCCUUUCGCCAGGGACGAAGCGUCAGUGACGGUACCUGGAUAAGAAGCACCGGCUAACUACGUGCCAGCAGCCACGGUAAUACGUAGGGUGCGAGCGUUGUCCGGAAUUACUGGGCGUAAAGAGCUCGUAGGUGGUUUGUCGCGUCGUUUGUGUAAUACCGCAGCUUAACUGCGGGGUUGCAGGCGAUACGGGCAUAACUUGAGUGCUGUAGGGGAGACUGGAAUUCCUGGUGUAGCGGUGGAAUGCGCAGAUAUCAGGAGGAACACCGAUGGCGAAGGCAGGUCUCUGGGCAGUAACUGACGCUGAGGAGCGAAAGCAUGGGUAGCGAACAGGAUUAGAUACCCUGGUAGUCCAUGCCGUAAACGGUGGGCGCUAGGUGUGAGUCCCUUCCACGGGGUUCGUGCCGUAGCUAACGCAUUAAGCGCCCCGCCUGGGGAGUACGGCCGCAAGGCUAAAACUCAAAGGAAUUGACGGGGGCCCGCACAAGCGGCGGAGCAUGUGGAUUAAUUCGAUGCAACGCGAAGAACCUUACCUGGGCUUGACAUGCACCGGAUCGCUGCAGAGAUGUAGUUUCCCUUGUGGCUGGUGUACAGGUGGUGCAUGGUUGUCGUCAGCUCGUGUCGUGAGAUGUUGGGUUAAGUCCCGCAACGAGCGCAACCCUUGCCUUAUGUUGCCAGCAUUUGGUUGGGGACUCAUGAGAGACUGCCGGGGUCAACUCGGAGGAAGGUGGGGAUGACGUCAAAUCAUCAUGCCCCUUAUGUCCAGGGCUUCACACAUGCUACAAUGGUCGGUACAACGCGCAGCUACUUCGUGAGGAGGCGCUAAUCGCUGAAAGCCGGUCUUAGUUCGGAUUGGGGUCUGCAACUCGACCCCAUGAAGUCGGAGUCGCUAGUAAUCGUAGAUCAGCAACGCUGCGGUGAAUACGUUAAAGGGCCUUGUAC